Molecule: ribosomal RNA, 573 nt
Filed under: uncultured bacterium
Lineage: Bacteria
Description: bacterial SSU rRNA
Rfam family: Bacterial small subunit ribosomal RNA
Source: RNAcentral
CGAACGAGCGAAGAGAAGCUUGCUUCUCUGAGCGAGUGGCGAACGGGUGAGUAACGCGUGAGGAACCUGCCUCAAAGAGGGGGACAACAGUUGGAAACGACUGCUAAUACCGCAUAAGCCCACGGGUCGGCAUCGACCAGAGGGAAAAGGAGCAAUCCGCUUUGAGAUGGCCUCGCGUCCGAUUAGCUAGUUGGUGAGGUAAUGGCCCACCAAGGCGACGAUCGGUAGCCGGACUGAGAGGUUGAACGGCCACAUUGGGACUGAGACACGGCCCAGACUCCUACGGGAGGCAGCAGUGGGGAAUAUUGCACAAUGGGGGAAACCCUGAUGCAGCGACGCCGCGUGGAGGAAGAAGGUCUUCGGAUUGUAAACUCCUGUUGUUGAGGAAGAUAAUGACGGUACUCAACAAGGAAGUGACGGCUAACUACGUGCCAGCAGCCGCGGUAAAACGUAGGUCACAAGCGUUGUCCGGAAUUACUGGGUGUAAAGGGAGCGCAGGCGGGAAGACAAGUUGGAAGUGAAAUCCAUGGGCUCAACCCAUGAACUGCUUUCAAAACUGUUUUUCUUGAAUAG